AUUGAACGCUGGCGGCAGGCCUAACACAUGCAAGUCGAGCGGAUGAAGGGAGCUUGCUCCUGGAUUCAGCGGCGGACGGGUGAGUAAUGCCUAGGAAUCUGCCUGGUAGUGGGGGAUAACGUCCGGAAACGGGCGCUAAUACCGCAUACGUCCUGAGGGAGAAAGUGGGGGAUCUUCGGACCUCACGCUAUCAGAUGAGCCUAGGUCGGAUUAGCUAGUUGGUGGGGUAAAGGCCUACCAAGGCGACGAUCCGUAACUGGUCUGAUAGGAUGAUCAGUCACCAUGGAACGUGGACACGGGCCAUGCUACUACGGGAGGCAGCAGUGGGGAAUAUUGGACAAUGGGCGAAAGCCUGAUCCAGCCAGGCCGCGUGUGUGAAGAAGGUCUUCGGAUUGUAAAGCACUUUAAGUUGGGAGGAAGGGCAGUAAGUUAAUACCUUGCUGUUUUGACGGUACCAACAGAAUAAGCACCGGCUAACUUCGUG
RNAcentral lists this ribosomal RNA (484 nucleotides) under uncultured bacterium. RNAcentral's name for it is "partial 16S ribosomal RNA". It matches the Rfam family "Bacterial small subunit ribosomal RNA", at positions 30 to 507 of the family's 1533-position model. The record is from RNAcentral.